Molecule: ribosomal RNA, 440 nt
Filed under: uncultured bacterium
Lineage: Bacteria
Description: partial 16S ribosomal RNA
Rfam family: Bacterial small subunit ribosomal RNA
Source: RNAcentral
CCUACGGGAGGCAGCAGUGGGGGAUAUUGCACAAUGGGGGAAACCCUGAUGCAGCGACGCCGCGUGUGGGAAGACGGUCCUCUGGAUUGUAAACCACUGUCGCCAGGGACGAAGAUGACGGUACCGGGGGACGAAGCUCCGGCUAACUAAGUACCAGCAGCCGAGGUAAUACGUAGGGAGCGAGCGUUUUCCGGAAUUACUGGGUGUAAAGGGAGCGUAGGCGGGACUGCAAGUUGGGUGUCAAAUCUACCGGCUCAACCGGUAGCCGCACUCAAAACUGCAGUUCUUGAGUGAAGUAGAGGCACGCGGAAUUCCUAGUGUAGCGGUGAAAUGCGUAGAUAUUAGGAGGAACACCAGUGGCGAAGGCGGCCUGCUGGGCUUUUACUGACGCUGAGGCUCGAAAGUGUGGGGAGCAAACAGGAUUAGAUACCCCAGUAGUC